UGUACCAGCAGAAGCAAGAGUGCUCCUGAGACAUGGCUUGAAGUAAACCCUCUCUAGGACCUAAGGACGCCAAAGCAGAAGCAAAAUGAUUUUGUGUUGGGAUUUUAGCAGAAAAGUAACUCUUGAAAGAAACUAUUCUUGGAUUUUGAUAUUUAUUACAUUUCAAAGUAUCUUGUUGCCUCAGAUCUGAAACUAUGAUCUGAGGUCCACAAAUGGAAUGAGACCAACAGAUUCAGAUCUUCAGCAAUCCUUAACCACAGAUCUCACAGGAUCAUCAGUUUCUGCCAACAGAAAAAGGAGCCAAGAAAAGAAGAGGCAAAGCAAUCUAUUGUCAGACUAUUUAAGAACCUGCCCAGCUUUUCCUGGUAGGCUAUUCACUGAUAUGGUGACUUACAGUUGGCAAAAUCAAAUCAAUGGACCACAUACUCUUAAUUUUUGUAGUAAAAACACCUAAAAUCUACUCAGCAAUUUUCAAGACUAUAAUAUGUUAUUGGCUGGCGUGGUGGUUCAACCCUUUAAUCCCAGCACUAAGGAGGAAGAAGCAGGUGAUUUCUGUGACUUUAAGGCCCACUUGGUCUACAUGACAUGAGAUUCAAAGCUGAACGUGUGGAGAAAAGCGAAGACUCUAGAGACCAGUGAGAGACGUGACUAUUGCUGAGUCUCUAAAUUAGCUAAGUCACAGGCCGCAUGCUAAGAGGAUUUGGGACAAAUCCAGUCUACCAUUUUGUCAAGUUAAAGUGCUGCCAUUAGGCAAGUUCCCUACGGAGGUUUCCUCCUCUCCACAGAAAAAGGAGACCAGACACCAAUGAAAGUAGAAAGCCCAAGUGAUCCAGCCUCUCAGAGUUCUUCUGUUGAGGUUUCCUCAGAGUUCUGCAUCCAGAACAGCUUCAAGGCUGCUGGCUGAGAUGGUCCAGCCUCACAGACUAUUCUAGCCAGGACUGCAGGUUCCCUAAAAAGAUGCCUUUAUCCUAAGACAACAGGAAGCAGUCUAGAGAACACAACACCCACAUUCCCAAGAGGUGGGAUGGAUGGUUUUUGUUCAUUUGUUGGUUUAUGGAUGUUUAUCAUCAUUUAGUGGGGAUAUAGGAAUAUGAGAUAAAAAGAUAACUAUUAACCUCAAA
Long non-coding RNA from Peromyscus eremicus (cactus mouse), 1121 nucleotides. RefSeq lists it as uncharacterized. The record is from RefSeq and is a predicted model, not a curated record. The transcript is spliced from 8 exons. Lineage: Eukaryota; Metazoa; Chordata; Mammalia; Rodentia; Cricetidae.